RNAcentral lists this ribosomal RNA (246 nucleotides) under Ceratobasidiaceae sp. 4 CRJH-2017. RNAcentral's name for it is "partial 28S ribosomal RNA". It matches the Rfam family "Eukaryotic large subunit ribosomal RNA", at positions 104 to 344 of the family's 3401-position model. Lineage: Eukaryota; Fungi; Basidiomycota; Agaricomycetes; Cantharellales; Ceratobasidiaceae. The record is from RNAcentral.
AGAGCUCAAAUUUAAAAUCCGACGGUCUAUUCCGUCCGAGUUGUAGCCUAGAGAAGCAUCAUCCGCGCUGGACCAUGUACAAGUCUCUUGGAACAGAGCGUCAUAGAGGGUGAGAAUCCCGUCCUUGACAUGGACUCCCAGUGCUUUGUGUUGUGCUCUCGACGAGUCGAGUUGUUUGGGAAUGCAGCUCAAAAUGGGUGGUAAAUUCCAUCUAAAGCUAAAUAUUGGCGAGAGACCNAUAGCGAA